Molecule: long non-coding RNA, 1870 nt
Organism: Neofelis nebulosa (Clouded leopard)
Lineage: Eukaryota; Metazoa; Chordata; Mammalia; Carnivora; Felidae
Exons: 3
Source: RefSeq, a predicted model, not a curated record
UCCAGCUACAGGCCCAGCUGGGGGCUGUCAGGCAAGGAGCCAGGUUGGAGCCUGCUGGCAGGAGUCCGGGGCCCCUGUGGCUCCACACUUCCGUCCCCGUGAGAGACCUGGAACCGGGAGCAGCCAGGGUGGGGUCUGUAAUGACUCUGCGGUGCCUCUUGGGCCCCCUGGGUAUGACAAUGACUAGGAAUGGAUGCAAGGAAUGUAUGAGAAGCAGAGGGGAGCCCUUCUGGAGUUUGUGGGUUAGAAGGGGACAUGGAUGUUAAUCCAGUAAUCACCCAAAUAAGAUGGAAGCUUGCCACUGUGGCUUGUGUGGUCUUGGGAGAAUGACACCCCUCUGUGCCUCCGUCCCUUUCAGGAGCACCUAACUCAAGUCAAGAAACAUUUAAUGUGGCUCCACUCUGUGCUUAGGCGGUAGGCCCAGAGCUGGCAAGCCUCGGAGGUCUGUCUGCCUAGAAGCAGAACCCUAAGGUGUCUAGUUUCCUCUCCCGGGGCUCCGGCUCCAGUCCUGCUGUCCGGAGUGCUUGAUCCAAAUGGAUUCUCAAGGCACGUGACACCAAGAGGUUCUUACACCGGACCCCACACCAGGCACGGAGCUCCAGGCGAUGGCAGUUAGAAGAGACGCGUGUUCUUGGAGUGUGGACCCAUCCGGCCUUGUUUCUGCCGUCUCCUCCCUCCUACAGAGCAUCCAACAGUGUCUGCAGAGAACCUUGUCUGAUGACACUAGCCUUUCUCAUCUUCUGAAUGACCCCCAACUUUGCGGAGCACUGUUGUAACCAACAAUUCUCACCUGCCCCUUUAUCAGCCACUGUUGCCAGCUGCCUCUACGUGCUUGUUUGUUUGUUUCUUUUUUCUUCCUUUCUUUUUUUCUGCUUUUGUGAUGGCAGUGGCCCAGGUCUCUUCCAUCAAAUCACUUGUGCGAAAAGCCCAAGGCGGGGGUCGCGCAACCUGCCAACUGGCUGUACUGUUUGGCAAAUGACUUUACAUCUCUAAGCCUCCAUUUCUACGGUCAAGUGAGAAUAUGAAUCCCUACCUUGUCAUCCUUUGAAGGCUUUUGUCCAAAUUGGAUGCGAUUCUGCCCCCGAAUCCUGUCUUUACCCCCAUUGUGGUGCCCAGUAUGAGACCUAGGGGUAAGGGUGAGGAGGAAUAAAACCUUGAGCAUUGAGGGAUCGAACUCUCCAGAACUGGCGGGGUCUUUUAUUCAGUGAUACCCUCCUCCAGGGGCCGUUGUGGGGGCAGGUGGCUUAACUGCCCAGAAAUUAUCUUGUCUGGUUUCUUUUCCAACCGUAGUGGCUUUUAUGUCUUCAACUCCCUCCUUGCUCUCUCGCCUUUUAACAUCUGGGUGGGGGAUUUUGUUCAGACUGUGAAACAGGCUUCUGACGCUCUCAGGUCUUCUUGGGUGUGAGGUGUUCUUUUUGUCCUUUGGCGGGGGGGGGGGGGAUCUUGCUGUGUGAGCAGCGGUGACCCCCUCGGUCCCUGGGGCUGCUGUCGUGGUCAGGAUCUUGCCAUCUGUGAUCAAGCACUCAGGCAACCCGGGGGGAAUCGUGUGGGACUUGAUUCUGGGGUGGGCUCUGGGGCAAGCCGACAUGAGCACCCACUGACUACACAACCAGGUCCAGCAGGGGAGAGAGGACAGGGAACCUCAGAGAAAGGCUGGGAAACGUGUGAAUGAGAAGAUUCGGAACAGGGCUCACCCAGCAGAACAGGACCUGGAUGAGCCAAGAGUGCCUGGAGAAUGCACUCCAUUUUUACGGUGUGGCGUGAAAAGCACGCAGAAGAAUACGAGGGGGUUCUCGAGUAGAGGAACUCUCUGAGUCUCAGUUUCUCUGGCCAUGAAAUGGAUCUGAUAGUAUUCACUGCACGAGGUUAC